This 460-nucleotide ribosomal RNA is filed under the name uncultured bacterium. Its description in RNAcentral is "partial 16S ribosomal RNA". It matches the Rfam family "Bacterial small subunit ribosomal RNA", at positions 338 to 795 of the family's 1533-position model. The record is from RNAcentral.
CCUACGGGUGGCAGCAGUGAGGAAUAUUGGUCAAUGGGCGCGAGCCUGAACCAGCCAAGUAGCGUGAAGGAUGACUGCCCUACGGGUUGUAAACUUCUUUUAUAAAGGAAUAAAGUGAGGCACGUGUGCCUUUUUGUAUGUACUUUAUGAAUAAGGAUCGGCUAACUCCGUGCCAGCAGCCGCGGUAAUACGGAGGAUCCGAGCGUUAUCCGGAUUUAUUGGGUUUAAAGGGAGCGUAGGUGGGUUGUUCAGUUAGUUGGUAAAGUGUGCGGCUCAACCGUACAAGUGCAAUUGAUACUGGCAGUCUUGAGUACAGAUGAGGUAGGCGGAAUGCGUGGUGUAGCGGUGAAAUGCUUAGAUAUCACGAGGAACUCCGAUUGCGAAGGCAGCUUGCUAAGGUGCCACUGACACUGAGGCUCGAAGGUGUGGGUAUCAAACAGGAUUAGAUACCCCAGUAGUC